Molecule: long non-coding RNA, 191 nt
Organism: Haliotis rubra (blacklip abalone)
Lineage: Eukaryota; Metazoa; Mollusca; Gastropoda; Lepetellida; Haliotidae
Exons: 2
Source: RefSeq, a predicted model, not a curated record
UACUACAUCAAACCUUUCGUUAAAGUGAAAAAUGGUAACUAGAUAACACAAAUAUUACCCACAGAAAAGGUGAAGAUGAAAUUUUUUGAGAACUGCCUGUGGGUGGUUGCAAUUUUCAGGUCACCUACUGCAAUGCCACACUCGCCAGGGUCAUAAGUAUAUGAAGAUGGAGAACCAAUUGUGUUUGUAGA